Mauremys reevesii (Reeves's turtle) is the source of this 1141-nucleotide long non-coding RNA. RefSeq lists it as uncharacterized. NCBI's taxonomy places the organism in Eukaryota, Metazoa, Chordata, Testudines, Geoemydidae. The transcript is spliced from 4 exons. The record is from RefSeq and is a predicted model, not a curated record.
UGGCAACAAAGUCACCUAGCAGGGGUCUGUGCUCAUGGAGAAGCUGGUAACGGUGUCACAUGACACAUGGGCAGAAGGCUUUUAAAGGGCAGAAGCUGGUCUGCUCAGGAGCCAUUGUCCUCUAGUCCAUGAGAGAGAAACAACCCAGCAUGUAAUGGCUCAUGAGGCACUGGACUCCCUGCCUGCCUUUCUAGACCCAGGGAAAGCAUUAUCAGGAAGGAGUUUUUUGUGAACUUUGGAUUCCAACCCCUCUACUUCUUCCACUACGAGCCCGAGAAACCAAUUAUUUUUCAUCAUAUAUGGACCAUAAAUCCCAUGGUAUCUCUGAGAAAAGGGCCUGGACCCAAACGCCAAGAUCUGAACAUUUUGAAGAGGUGGUCCUUCUGGGUGAGCUGUCUGACCUUGGUGAGGCAGUGGUGUGGAACUCCCUUUGCCAACUGCCCACGCUGUACCUGUUCUGUCAACUUCUGUUUCCAAGGCCCUCAAUCAAACUGUUGUCACAAGGACUAAAGUCACUGAAUUUUUCUAUAUAAUGAGCAUAGCCCAGACCUCUGUGAACCUCCUGUCUGCUGAGGAAAUAAAGGGCCCUUUCAAUGGAGCCAAUAGUUCAGAAGUUCUGCUCAAUCAACAUUUUUCACCCCUCUCAAAAACUUGAUCCUGAACUUACUAUUGACUUCAAUAUGACCAACACUGGGCCCAUUUUUUAUGCUGGUGAAAAGCUUAAUUGGGCUUUUUACUGUACUUUUGGAUUCCACUGCCUCUCCUGUGACUCCAGCCAUGCUGAUGUGGGGUGAUAUUGAAAUGGUCAGAGCAUGAUCUAUAUAGCCAGUUCUCCUCCUUCAUGGUAGAGGACAAGGUAAGAAUAACAAAGGCAGUGAUAUGCAUAUUGAGACAAAGUGUAAAUGCCUAUAAGUUAAGCUUAGUGAUCUUAGUGACAAAUCCUGCAGGCCAAACUUCCAUUUAUGUCAAUGGGACUUUGGACUGAGUACGGACUGCAGAAUCUGGCCCCAGGUCAGAAUUUUUUUAUUACAUAUGUUUCACAGUUUCUUAGCUGAUUAGUCACUCUGUUUCUUUUCCUAGAGAUGCCCAUGUUCCUCCUUACUCUUCACUGUACAUUAGUUCUGAUAACAAUAGGAUAUUU